GGGCCGUUAGCUCAGUCGGUAGAGCAGCGGACUUUUAAUCCGUUGGUCGACAGUUCGAAUCUGUCACGGCCCACCA
RNAcentral lists this transfer RNA (76 nucleotides) under Dyella acidisoli. RNAcentral's name for it is "tRNA-Lys". It matches the Rfam family "tRNA". Rfam says of the family: Transfer RNA (tRNA) molecules are approximately 80 nucleotides in length. The record is from RNAcentral. Lineage: Bacteria; Pseudomonadati; Pseudomonadota; Gammaproteobacteria; Lysobacterales; Rhodanobacteraceae. RNAcentral also lists the same sequence under 4 other names.